RNAcentral lists this ribosomal RNA (357 nucleotides) under uncultured bacterium. RNAcentral describes it as "bacterial SSU rRNA". It matches the Rfam family "Bacterial small subunit ribosomal RNA", at positions 29 to 414 of the family's 1533-position model. The record is from RNAcentral.
AACGAACGCUGGCGGCAUGCCUAACACAUGCAAGUCGAACGAGACCUUCGGGUCUAGUGGCGCACGGGUGCGUAACGCGUGGGAACCUGCCUUUAGGUUCGGAAUAACAGUGAGAAAUUACUGCUAAUACCGGAUGAUGUCUUCGGACCAAAGAUUUAUCGCCUUUAGAUGGGCCCGCGUUGGAUUAGCUAGUUGGUGGGGUAAAGGCCUACCAAGGCGACGAUCCAUAGCUGGUCUGAGAGGAUGAUCAGCCACACUGGGACUGAGACACGGCCCAGACUCCUACGGGAGCAGCAGUGGGGAAUAUUGGACAAUGGGCGAAAGCCUGAUCCAGCCAUGCCGCGUGCAGGAUGAAGG